Molecule: long non-coding RNA, 148 nt
Organism: Ipomoea nil (Japanese morning glory)
Lineage: Eukaryota; Viridiplantae; Streptophyta; Magnoliopsida; Solanales; Convolvulaceae
Exons: 3
Source: RefSeq, a predicted model, not a curated record
CUUGUCUGAUGGUGGAUAUAUUUUCUUGACUAAAAACCACAGCCAAGGAAACCGGUUUCUAUCGUCCUACUUUGAAGGCUUGACCAAAAUACAGGGAUCAAAAACUGCUCUGCCUGAAUCAUGCACUACAAAAUUAAGUGCAGAAUUG